Long non-coding RNA from Cyprinus carpio (common carp), 2763 nucleotides. RefSeq lists it as uncharacterized. The transcript is spliced from 2 exons. The record is from RefSeq and is a predicted model, not a curated record. Lineage: Eukaryota; Metazoa; Chordata; Actinopteri; Cypriniformes; Cyprinidae.
CUGAACUCACUGAUUUGAGUUCAGCUUAAGUCAUUUGAUCCUUAAUAAAAUAGUGACCUCUACAGAAAUGAAUUAUAUUUUUGAAGAGUGGUGGACUGAAUUAAAACACCUGUUUGCCUUUUACUCCUGGAAGUAAAAAAAAAAAAAAAAAAAAAAAAAUCAGGGGGUCAAAAACAUAUUAAUGAGCAUAAAAACCUAAUGGACUACCUGCACAACUACUUUGUGUUCUACUUAUUACAGCCCAUGACAGAGUUCGUACGGUCAUGAAAAACCUGGAACAGUCAUGGAAUUUUAAAAAAGCAAAGUUCUAGUAAAGUCAUGGAAAUCUAUUUCACAAAUCUCUGUAUAAUAGAAUUAUAUUUAAUCGGGUCCUGAAUUUCGAUGCGGGAUUGCGCUAUAUCCAGACCUGCCAACCUGUACGCAUUUUGACCUCAAAGUACGCUGAAACGAUUUGUCACUCUAAACUACGCAAAAAUCUAGUGACGCCCCUGUCCACGUGCAGUAUUCAAAACAAGCAACAGAAAAAGAUGUAGAGGUCAACCAAUAAGAGCGUUUUUUUUUUUUUCAUUUAAAUAAAUUCUGUAUUUUAUUUCACUCCUAGUAGCCUAUAGUUUAUAGUUUCAGUUCAAAGCGGCUCGCCCAAGCUGUUUAGAUUUUGUUUUUAGAUUGCAAUGUUACAAUGUAAUGUGAUUUUACCCCUUUUUUGCACAUAAUAUUUGCCUACAUGCUUACAUUAUUCACUGUUUAAUCCAAAUACAAAAUACCGAGAUAUAUAGGCUACCAUAUACAACAAAUCAGCCAAAAAAUACAGAGAUAUGAUUUUUUUCUCAUAUCGCCCAGUCCUAUGCAGAAAUCUACUGGAGUUUUAAUUAAUUUUUUUUCUUAUUUUAAAUAGCAUAAAAAAAAACUAAAUAGUAAAAAUUAACUAAACGGUUACGGUAAACAGUUAAGGUAAACAGUAAAAAAAAGUACACUGUAAACGGUAAAACAGUAAACUGUAUACUCCCUCUCCACAACUCAACCCUCCCAGCCCCCAAAGGUCUGUAUAUCGCUUAGUUUUACUAAUUCCUGGAGCUUUUGACUUUAAAAUGAAGGUGUUACGACCCUGUCUAGUGUAAGGCCGCAACAUAAACUGAAAUCGACAAUCAAAGAUCUUUUAUACAUUUAUCUACAGAACCACAAGUGAAAGCACAACUUCAGAUGGUAAGCAAAGGCCAAAACAACAAAAACACCAAGCUAGCUCCUAACAGAAAAGACUAAAUUCCCUAACAAAAGAAAAAACAAAAUAAAAAUAUAACACAUUGCCUUAAAGGCUGAUUUAUACUUCUGCGUCGGACAUACGCUUUACCCUCUACGCAUAAGGAUGUGCGUAGGUUUUCAUUUAUACUUAUGCGUCGCUGUUGAAGGUGUAACCCACAGUAUCAAGGCAAAAGCCGAAGAAAAAGUUUUUAUCACAGCAGCAGUUUUGGCGGGAAAGAGAAAGCGACUUCUUUUGCAGCUUGAGUGGUUAAAUAUCGAAGAACAUAUUAUUUAUUUAAAACGACUAAAAAGGAGACAACACCGGAACCAUUGCACCAAACAAGACAACAGGAGGGAGAAUUUGUCAUGCUUGUUCGACAAAUGCAGGAGAUAGAUGAACAGAUGCAUUUCUGAUACUUUCACAUGUCUGCAAGUCGAUUCAAUGAUUUGGUUCGUCGUUUACAGCCUUUUAUUUCGCAUCAGUGUACCCAUUGUAUGCCGAUCGAUCUUCGGCAAAGACUGGCAGUGACCCUUCGUAUGUUAGCUUCAGGUGCUAACCAACAGACUGUAGCAACUAGCUACAAACUUGCACCGUGCACAGUGUCCUCGAUUGUUUCAGAGAUCUGUAAAGCACUUUGGAAAGCCCUACAGCCAGAGUUCCUCCCUUGCUGUAAUGUAGUGCAAUGGGAAGCUAUCGCAACUGAUUUUUGCCGCUUGUGGAACUUUCCGAACUGUGUCGGCAGCACAGAAGGAAAAUAUGUUAACAUCAUGGCACCCCCCCUUCAGCUGGUAGCGACUUUUUUAUCUACAAGGGUGCACACUCUAUUGUCCUCUUGGCUACCUGCGAUGCCAGAUACAGAUUCACUAUGGUUGAUGUGGGAGGAUACGGGCGAAAAAGCAAUGGUGGCAUCUUUAAAAAGAGCAAAUUUGGUUCCAUGAUGCUCGAGCAGAAACUGAACCUGCCUCCGCCAGCCAGUCUCCCUGGGACUACUGUCACACUCCCUCAUGUGAUUGUUGGUGAUGCUGCUUUUCCACUACUAAAUAACCUCAGCGCCCCUUUCAAGGUGACCCAAACAUGACGCUGGAAAAGCAGACAUACAACUGCAGGCACUCCAGAACCAGACGUGUGUUUGAAAACAGCUUUGGAAUUUUGGUGGCAAGAUGGAGAAUUCUCGGACGAGCUCUGGAAUUUCAGCCGGACAAAGCUGUUGAUGUUGUGAAGACCUGUGCCAUGCUCCACAACUUUCUCACCUACACAGAUAAAGUAAACACACCUGCAAACCGAUACAUCCCUGCUAAUUUUGCUGACACCGAUGCAUCAGGUGUACCUCAGGCAGGGGAAUGGCGAGGAGUUGUUUCAGAGAAUGGUCAUCUGUUGCAUGCACUCGAUCCAAGCUACCUGUCAUGGUGGCAUUCUUUCAAUCUCCGCAAGGAAUUGUACCAUGGCUGAAUGGCAUUGUUUGUCGUGGAUAACUAAAUGAUGUAUAAUGCUAUGUUGUAUAAUAAAUGAUAUGACACUUCUUA